This 253-nucleotide ribosomal RNA is filed under the name uncultured bacterium. Its description in RNAcentral is "partial 16S ribosomal RNA". It matches the Rfam family "Bacterial small subunit ribosomal RNA", at positions 524 to 776 of the family's 1533-position model. The record is from RNAcentral.
UACGUAGGGUGCGAGCGUUGUCCGGAAUUACUGGGCGUAAAGAGCUCGUAGGUGGUUUGUCGCGUUGUUCGUGAAAACUCACAGCUUAACUGUGGGCGUGCGGGCGAUACGGGCAGACUGGAGUACUGCAGGGGAGACUGGAAUUCCUGGUGUAGCGGUGGAAUGCGCAGAUAUCAGGAGGAACACCGGUGGCGAAGGCGGUGGUCUGGGCCGGCACUGACGCUGAGGAGCGAAAGCGUGGGGAGCAAACAGG